AGUGAACGCUGGCGGUAUGCCUAACACAUGCAAGUCGAACGGCAGCACAGUAAGAUCUUGCUCUUACGGGUUGCGAGUGGCGGGCGUGUGACGAAUACAUCGGAAUCUACUUUUUCGUGGGGGUUAACGUAAGGAAACUUACGCUAAUACCGCAUACGCCGUACGGGUGAAAGCAUGGGAUCUUCUGACCUUGCGUGAUUGAAUGAGCCGAUGUCGGAUUAGCUUGUGGGGGGGGUAAAGGCCCACCAAGGCGAGGAUAGGUAGCUGGUCUGUGCGGAUGGUCAGCAACACUAGAGCGGGAACACGGUCCAGCCUACUACGGUAGGGAGCAGUGGGGAAUAUUGGACAAUGGGCGGGAGCCUGACCCAGCCGUACCGCGUGGGUUGAGAAAGCCUUCCGGUCGGAAAGCCCUUUUGUUGGGUAAGAAAAGCAGCAGGUUAAUACCACGCUUUUCUGACGGUACCGAAAGAAUAAGCACCGGCUAACUUCGUG
This 492-nucleotide ribosomal RNA is filed under the name uncultured bacterium. Its description in RNAcentral is "partial 16S ribosomal RNA". It matches the Rfam family "Bacterial small subunit ribosomal RNA", at positions 29 to 507 of the family's 1533-position model. The record is from RNAcentral.